CACCCGUAGUGACGGAAGAUUUUUACACUUUCCAUCACUUUUUUGCGCUAAAGAAUGAAGGAUCCCGGUGAUGUAGUGAUACGUCCGGGAAAAUGAUGACAGAGAGAAAGUGCAAGUGUCAAGACAAUUGCUAGACGGAAACUUGAUAUGUCAUAGCUAGCUUUGUUAUGCUUG
Molecule: non-coding RNA, 174 nt
Organism: Caenorhabditis elegans
Lineage: Eukaryota; Metazoa; Nematoda; Chromadorea; Rhabditida; Rhabditidae
Source: Ensembl